UAAAUGAUGUACAUCUUCCAAUUUUCUAUCCACAGAUGGAUGGUCUACCCCACAGAGAGGAUUCUUUACAAAAUUUUCUCUAAGUCCAGCUGCCUGAAAAGCAUCUUCUCUUGGAAGGCAACCAUUAAACAAUCAACACACAAGGCCAGGCCCGGUGGCUCACGCCUGUAAUCCCAGCACUUUGGGAGGUUAAAGCUGGCAAAUCACUCGAGGUCAGGAGUUCAAGACCAGCCUGGCCAACAUGGUGAAACCCCAUCUCUACUACAAAUACAAAAAUUAACUGGGCAUGGUGACGGGCACCUGUAAUCCAAGCUACUCGGGAGGCUGAGGCAGGAGAAUCAUUUAAACCCAGGAGGCCAAAGUUGCAGUGAGCUGAGAUCACACCACUACACUCCAGGCUGGGCGACAGAGCGAGACUCCAUCUCAAACAAACAAGCAAAAAAAAUCAACACACAAUCACUACCGAAGAAACAAGGGUGCAGAAUUUUAAAGAAAAAUAAGAAAAAAGCCCUAACCUCAAGGUACUUAAAAUUAUCUGUAGAUCACAAUAGAUGGACGAACAGAGAAACUGAAAAUAAGAAGAAGGGAUUAGUGGGUGAUAGUAUUUGAAAGGUAAGUGAAGUUGCAGGCUGCAAAUGUUCUCAAGACUCCAAAAAUCAGUGCGAAUAUCAACAGGUGAUAAGAGAAAACUGUCUUCUGUCUUUAGUCAUUCAUUAAACAAAUAUUUUUGAGGCCUGUAAGGCUUAAAUGACAAGCUUUCUUCUAAACACUGGGGCAGAUUUUAUGGUAGUGAAAAACUGUCACAAGGUUCUAUUUCAUAUGGAGCUUUCAUUCAAAUGGAAAGUCAACAAAUAAAUAAAUGAAAUAAAUAAAAAAGAUAGUUUCAUCUGGUGAUAAAUGCUAUGAACAAAAUAACUCUGGGUGAUGUGACAGAGAAUAACUAUGAAGGUUAUAUUUCGGCUGAGACUUGGAUGCAGAGAAGGAAAC
Molecule: long non-coding RNA, 987 nt
Filed under: Rhinopithecus bieti (black snub-nosed monkey)
Lineage: Eukaryota; Metazoa; Chordata; Mammalia; Primates; Cercopithecidae
Description: lncRNA (ENSRBIG00000046449.1)
Source: RNAcentral